Molecule: transfer RNA, 71 nt
Filed under: Zosterisessor ophiocephalus (grass goby)
Lineage: Eukaryota; Metazoa; Chordata; Actinopteri; Gobiiformes; Gobiidae
Description: tRNA-Val
Rfam family: tRNA
About the family: Transfer RNA (tRNA) molecules are approximately 80 nucleotides in length. Their secondary structure includes four short double-helical elements and three loops (D, anti-codon, and T loops).
Source: RNAcentral
CAGGGCGUAGCUAAAUAGCAUAGCAUCUCCCUUACACCGAGAACGCGCCCGUGCAAAUCGAGCCGCCCUGA